AGAGUUUGAUUCUGGCUCAGGAUGAACGCUAGCUACAGGCUUAACACAUGCAAGUCGAGGGGCAGCAGGACGAUAGCUUGCUAUGUUGCUGGCGACCGGCGCACGGGUGAGUAACGCGUAUCCAACCUUCCCCUUAGUAGGGCAUAGCCCGGUGAAAAUCGGAUUAAUACCCUAUGUUGUGUCAUGAGGACAUCUGAAUAACACUAAAGAUUUAUCGCUAAGGGAUGGGGAUGCGUCCGAUUAGGUAGUCGGCGGGGUAACGGCCCACCGAGCCCUCGAUCGGUAGGGUUCUGAGAGGAAGGUCCCCCACACUGGUACUGAGACACGGACCAGACUCCUACGGGAGGCAGCAGUGAGGAAUAUUGGUCAAUGGGCGCGAGCCUGAACCAGCCAAGUAGCCGUGCAGGAUGACGGCCCUAUGGGUUGUAAACUGCUUUUAUACGGGGAUAAAGUGAGGGACGUGUCCCUUAUUGUAGGUACCGUAUGAAUAAGGACCGGCUAAUUCCGUGCCAGCAGCGGC
RNAcentral lists this ribosomal RNA (520 nucleotides) under uncultured bacterium. Its description in RNAcentral is "bacterial SSU rRNA". It matches the Rfam family "Bacterial small subunit ribosomal RNA", at positions 8 to 518 of the family's 1533-position model. The record is from RNAcentral.